This 107-nucleotide small nuclear RNA is filed under the name Zootermopsis nevadensis. The record is from RNAcentral. Lineage: Eukaryota; Metazoa; Arthropoda; Insecta; Blattodea; Termopsidae.
GCAGUCACUGCGGCACUGCACACACUAACAUUGCAGUAAUGUGGUGAAGAUUAGCGUGGCCCCUGCACAAGGAUUAUGUGCAAGAUGGUGAAAUGUUUCAUAAUUUU